Molecule: long non-coding RNA, 3268 nt
Filed under: Sus scrofa (pig)
Lineage: Eukaryota; Metazoa; Chordata; Mammalia; Artiodactyla; Suidae
Description: lncRNA (ENSSSCG00055005750.1)
Source: RNAcentral
UUUUUUUUUUUUUUUUUUUUUUUUUUUUGGCCAUGCCCAAAGAAUGUGGAAGUUUCUUGGGCAAGGGAUCAAACCCAUGUCACAGCAGUGACUUGAACCAUAGCAGUGACAAUGCUGGAUCCUUACCCUGCUAUGCCAUAAGGGAACUCUUCAAGAUAUUUUUAUUGACUGCAUCUGUGGCAUGAGGAAGUCCCCAGGCCAGAUAUCAAACCUACACCACAGCAGUGACAGCCCAGAUCCUUAACCCACUGUGCCACCAGGGAACUUGAGAUAUUUUUUAAUUUCCCUUUUGAUUUCUCCUUUGACUCAUUAGUUGUUCAGCAGUAUGCAAUUUAGUUUCCACACAUUUGUGAAUCUUCCAACUUUAAUUUUUUAAGCUGAUUUCUUGUUUUACACUAUUGUUGUUGGAAAAGGUAUUUGGUAAGAUUUCAAUCUUCUUAAAUAUGCUAAGACUUGUUUUGUGACCUAUCAUGUGAUCAAUCCUGGAGAAUAUUCCAUAUACACUUGAAAAUAAUAUGUAUUCUGCUACUACUGGAUGGAAUGUUCUGUAAAUAUUUGAUAUAAAGUGUCAUUCAAGUCCAUUAUUUCCUUUGUGCUUUUCUUUCUGGAUGACCUAUCAAUUGCUGAAAGUGGGAUAUUAAAGUCCCCUACUAUUAUUGUGUUAUUGUUUAUUUCUCCCUUCAGAUCUGUUAGUCUUUGCUUACUAUAUUUAGGUGCUCUGAUGUUGGGUACAUAUAUAUUUGAUUGUUUUAACUUCUUGAUGAAUUGACCCCUUUAUCAUUAUAUAAUGAUCUUUUUGCCUCUUGUUACCAUAUUUGGCUAAAGUCUAUUUUUUCUGUUUUAAGUAUAGUUACCCCUAAUUUCUUUUGGUUUCUACUUUCAGGGGAUGUCUUUCUCUCCAUCCCUUUAUUUUAAGCCUGUAUAUGUCCUUACGUCUAAAAUGAGUUUCUUUCUUUCUUUCUUUUUUUUUUGUCUUUUGUCUUUUUAGGGCCGCACCUGUGGCAUAUGGAGCAGCCCAAAGAAAUAGCAAAAAGACAAAAAUAAAUAAAUAAAUAAAUAAAUAAAAUAAAAUUAGUUUUUGUAGAUUGCAUAUAGUUAGGAAUUUUUUUUUCCAUUUAGUCACUUUAUGUUUUUUGAUCAGAGAAUUUACCAUUUAUAUUUAGAGUAACUAUUGAUAAAUAAGGACUUACCAAUGCAUCUUAUUUUUUGUUUUCUGGCUGCUUUAUAGCUUAUUUCUUCCUUUCCUCCCCUCUUUCUGCCUUCCUUCAUGAAGUAAUGAUUUUCCAUAGUGGAGUACUUUGAUUCCCUUUGCUUUAUCUUUUGUCAAUCUACUGUUAAUUUUUGCUUGGUAUUUACUAUGAGGCUUAUAUCAAACAUCUUAUAGAUACAAUAGUCUGUUUUACUCUAACAAACUUAACCCUGGUGAAUUUUACCCUAAUACACCAUAACUUUUGGUUGUAUACAAAAACUCUACCCUUUCACUCCCUUCCUUUUUUUUUUUUUUCUUUUUUCCCCUUUUUAGGGCCACACCUGCAGCAUAUUGGAAGUUUCUGGGCUGGGGUUAAAUUGGAGCUGCAAUUGCUGGCCUAUGCCACAGCUAUAGCAAUGCCAGAUCUGAACCACAUCUGCAAACUACACCACAGCUUGUGGCAAUGCCAGAUCUUUAACCGACUGAGCAAGGUCAGGGAUUGAACCCACAUCCUCAUGGAUACUAGUCAGAUUCUUUAUCUUCUGAGCUACAACAGUACCUGCCAGUACCAGAGUAUUCUGAAUUUGUCUAAAUACCUAUCUUUACCAGUAUAUCAUAUGUUUUUAUAUGUUUUCAUGUUAUUAGCAUCCUAUCAUUUUAAGCUUGAAGGAUUCCUUUCAGCAUUUCUUGUAGAGAAGGUUUAGUGGUGAUGAACUGAGAUUUUGCUUGUCUGGGAAAUUCUUUACCUCUCCAUUUUUGAAGGAAAAUUUUGCCAGCUGGAGUAUUCUUAGUUGGUAGCUUCUUUCUUUUAGCAUUUUGAAUAUAGCAUCCCACUCUCUCUUAGCCUGUAAAGUUUCUGCUGAGAAAUCUGUUCAUCACCUUAUGGGGUUCCUUGUAAGUUAUAAGCUUCUUUUUCUCUUCCUGAUUCUAAGAUUCCCUCUAUGUCUUUGAUUUUUUUUUUUUUUUUUGGUCUUUUCUAGGGCCACACCCAUGGCAUAUGGAGGUUCCCAGGCUAGGGGUUGAAUUGGAGCUGCAGCCACUGGCCUAUGCCAGAGCCACAGCAAUGUGGGAUCUGAGACAUUGUCUGCUACCUACACCACAGCUCAUGGUAACGCUGGAUCCUUAACCCACUGAGAAAGGCUAGGGAUCGAACCCGCAACCUCAUGGUUCCUAGUCGGACUCAUUAACCACUGAGCUAUGACGGGAACUCCUGUCUUUGAUUUUUGACAAUUUUAUUAUAAUGUGUCUUGGAGAGUGUCUCUUCAAGUUGAGUUCAGUUGGUGAUCUAUGAGUUUGAGGAACUUGGAUAUCUAAGUAAGUCCUCAUCCAUUAUUUCUUUUGUCUUUUUUUUUUUUUUUUUUUUUUUUUGUCUUUUUGCCAUUUCUUGAGCCGCUCCCGCGGCAUAUGGAGGUUCCCAGCCUAGGGGUCUAAUCGGAGCUGUAGCUGCCAGCCUACACCAGAGCCACAGCAAUGCAGAAUCCGAGCCGUGUCUGCAACCUACACCACAGCUCACGGCAAUGCCGGAUCCUUAACCCACUGAGCAAGGGCAGGGACCAAACCCUCAACCUCAUGGUUCCUAGUCGGAUUUGCUAACCACUGCGCCACGACGGGAACUCCCAUUAUUUCUUUAAAUAAUCUUUCUGCCCCCUUAUCCCUCUGUAACUCCAACAAUUCACAAGUCAUUUCUUCUGAUGAAAUAUCUUGUCCUAUAGAUCAAGUGGGCUUUCUUCAUUCUUUUCAUUCUUUUUUCUUUGUUCUCCUCUGACUGAGUAAUUUCAGAAUUCCUUUUUUCUAACUCAUAUAUUCUUUCUUCUGCCUGAUCCAUUCUGCUGAUGCUCUCUAUUGCAUUUUUUUAUUAUAUCAUUCAUUUUAUUAUUUAGCUUCAGAAUUUUUUUUUAAGUUUCUUGUAUACAGCAUUAUAAUUUAACUGUUGUAUACACCACAAAUGAUUAGCUUUUUAAUUAUUUUUAUGAUUUCUAGCUCUGUUAAAUUUUUCAUUCUGUACAUGUAUUAUUUUCCUGAUUUCAUUGAAUUAUCUGAGUUUUCUUGUAGGUCACUGAUUUUCCUUAAAACAGCUAU